RNAcentral lists this non-coding RNA (23 nucleotides) under Cricetulus griseus (Chinese hamster). Lineage: Eukaryota; Metazoa; Chordata; Mammalia; Rodentia; Cricetidae. The record is from RNAcentral.
CAUAUCUGUAGUCCUCCUUAUUG